Nomia melanderi (Alkali bee) is the source of this 681-nucleotide non-coding RNA. The record is from RefSeq and is a predicted model, not a curated record. Lineage: Eukaryota; Metazoa; Arthropoda; Insecta; Hymenoptera; Halictidae.
GAGUAAUCACAAAUUGUGUCGACUAUCUAUACUUAUACACUUCAUAUGGUCCAUGAAAAAACAUUAACCUAAGAAUUUAAAUAAUAAAAAGUAAGGCUUUUUAUAUUACUUAAAAUAAAUAAAUAAAAUUUAAGCAUAACGAGUUAACAAACGUAUUUAUUUACAAUAAACUUAUCUCAGUGGAGUAAGAUAUAAAAGUAAUAUAAGAACGAGUCUAUAUACAUAUUGCAAAAAUGUUUAAUUCUUUGUAUUUCAAAAACAACUGUAUAAAUACACAUGUAAUAAACAAGUUACAAUUUUUUUAUCAACGACUAAAGAAGAAUGAUAAAUUUAUAGAAUUUGCAACGUGUAAACCAUAUCAUUCUUUCUCUAGAAGUAUAAAUAAAAUAACUAAUUUAAGAAAUGUGAUUCAACAGCCAAAGGUGGAUAGAAAAUAUUCAUAUAUAAAUAUAAAUAUACAAAAUGAUAUAUUUCUGUUUAAAUUUGAAACUAAUUAUUUUAAAAAUAUUAGAUGGAUUUUAUUAGCAGCAUUAACUUCUUCUGCUGUGACGUGUUACACUUCAUAUGAUCCAAAGUUGAAAUCACUAUUAUUUAAAGAUAUCUCUUGGUCCCAGUAUAUUAAAACUUGUGGAACAAAUAUUAUAUUUUUUACAUUUGGAAUAUUUAUAGUUUAGGUCCUGU